Molecule: ribosomal RNA, 974 nt
Filed under: Arthrobacter tecti
Lineage: Bacteria; Bacillati; Actinomycetota; Actinomycetes; Micrococcales; Micrococcaceae
Description: bacterial SSU rRNA
Rfam family: Bacterial small subunit ribosomal RNA
Source: RNAcentral
GCUUCGGGUUGUAAACCUCUUUCAGUAGGGAAGAAGCGAAAGUGACGGUACUGCAGAAGAAGCGCCGGCUAACUACGUGCCAGCAGCCGCGGUAAUACGUAGGGCGCAAGCGUUAUCCGGGAAUUAUUGGGCGUAAAGAGCUCGUAGGCGGUUUGUCGCGUCUGCCGUGAAAGUCCGGGGCUUAACUCCGGAUCUGCGGUGGGUACGGGCAGACUUGAGUGAUGUAGGGGAGACUGGAAUUCCUGGUGUAGCGGUGAAAUGCGCAGAUAUCAGGAGGAACACCGAUGGCGAAGGCAGGUCUCUGGGCAUUAACUGACGCUGAGGAGCGAAAGCAUGGGGAGCGAACAGGAUUAGAUACCCUGGUAGUCCAUGCCGUAAACGUUGGGCACUAGGUGUGGGGGACAUUCCACGUUUUCCGCGCCGUAGCUAACGCAUUAAGUGCCCCGCCUGGGGAGUACGGCCGCAAGGCUAAAACUCAAAGGAAUUGACGGGGGCCCGCACAAGCGGCGGAGCAUGCGGAUUAAUUCGAUGCAACGCGAAGAACCUUACCAAGGCUUGACAUGAACCGGAACGGCGCAGAGAUGUGUCGGCCACUUGUGGCCGGUUUACAGGUGGUGCAUGGUUGUCGUCAGCUCGUGUCGUGAGAUGUUGGGUUAAGUCCCGCAACGAGCGCAACCCUCGUUCCAUGUUGCCAGCGGGUUAUGCCGGGGACUCAUGGGAGACUGCCGGGGUCAACUCGGAGGAAGGUGGGGACGACGUCAAAUCAUCAUGCCCCUUAUGUCUUGGGCUUCACGCAUGCUACAAUGGCCGGUACAAAGGGUUGCGAUGCUGUGAGGUGGAGCUAAUCCCAAAAAGCCGGUCUCAGUUCGGAUUGAGGUCUGCAACUCGACCUCAUGAAGUCGGAGUCGCUAGUAAUCGCAGAUCAGCAACGCUGCGGUGAAUACGUUCCCGGGCCUUGUACACAUUACCCGUCA